RNAcentral lists this long non-coding RNA (1051 nucleotides) under Capra hircus (goat). RNAcentral's name for it is "lncRNA (ENSCHIG00010003697.1)". Lineage: Eukaryota; Metazoa; Chordata; Mammalia; Artiodactyla; Bovidae. The record is from RNAcentral.
AAAAUUGUGUUUUAUUUAUUCAUUUUUGGCUGUACUAGAUCUUUGUCACUGUAUGGGCUUUUUUCUAGUUGCAGCAACUGGGGACUACUCUUCAUUGCAGUGCACAGGCUUCUCUUUUGGUGGCUUUUCUUGUUGAGGAGCAUAGACUUGAGGACACGUGGGCUCAGUAGUUGCAGCUCCCAGGCACUAGAGCACAGGCUCAGUAGUUGUGGUGCACAUUUGCCCCGUGUCAGUUACUCCACAGCAUGUGAGAUCUUCCUUUACCAGGGAUCGAACCUGUGUUUCCUGCAUUGACAGGUGGAUUCUUUACCACUGAGCCACCAGGGAAGCUCAAUAGUGAAGCUCUGAACUUGGGUAGUGACUGCAUAUAGAAAGAGAAGAAUGGAUCUAAGCAAACCCAGUGCUGAACUCAUCUUUUUCCGGUGGUCAAUAGCCCUAUUUCAAAGCAGCACUCAUUCCUUCAUCCAGCUCUGCAGGAUCUUGGCUUCUGCCAGGAAAGUACAUGAAGUCAAAGGGUGUGGAUUUGGGACCCACUGCCACAACUAGCUGAGAUGUUUAUCUUGAGCAGCUUUCUUCAUUCUCAGAGAGUAUCCUUCUCUGUGUGGCAGGGAUAAUAGUGACAAGAGAGAGCCCCACCCCACCCAGCGGCAAUGAGGAAUAAAUAAGGCGUGGCGCAGGAAAGAGGUGUGGAACUGAAACAGGAGUUGGGGUUUGACUCUUGCAGCGUGGAGAGGGCUGCUGGAUUGUAGAAAGAGAAAGAUUCAACCUCCUGCCACCUCCUUCCUGCUGUCACGCAAUGAGGAAAGCAUUGUCUCAGGGUGACCUUGAAUCUUAGGUGGAAGGGCACUGAGGUCUGAGAAGAUAGAAUUCUAUGUAGAUAGUGGGGCUGCUACUCCUAGGUACUACUUCUCCCUCGUGGAUAAGACAAUGAGUAAAUAAACUCUCCUCUGCACCUUCACCAUUUGUCAGUCCUCUAACGUAGCCUUGAGCACAGUCCCCAAGGCUGUGGUUAGGUACUUUGCACUCCCUCCAGGCAAUGCAAUAUGUCACU